Molecule: ribosomal RNA, 253 nt
Filed under: uncultured bacterium
Lineage: Bacteria
Description: partial 16S ribosomal RNA
Rfam family: Bacterial small subunit ribosomal RNA
Source: RNAcentral
UACGUAGGGUCCAAGCGUUGUUCGGAAUUACUGGGCGUAAAGCGCGCGUAGGCGGGCUUGUAAGUUGAUUGUGAAAGCCCCGGGCUUAACCCGGGACGUGCAGUCAAAACUGCAAGUCUUGAGUGCCUGAGAGGAUGGCGGAAUUCCCGGUGUAGUAGUGAAAUACGUAGAUAUCGGGAAGAACACCUGAGGCGAAGGCGGCUAUCUGGCGGUGCACUGACGCUGAGGCGCGAAAGCGUGGGGAGCAAACAGG